CUGAUUAGAAGCUUGCUUCUAUGACGUUAGCGGCGGACGGGUGAGUAACACGUGGGCAACCUGCCUGUAAGACUGGGAUAACUUCGGGAAACCGAAGCUAAUACCGGAUAGGAUCUUCUCCUUCAUGGGAGAUGAUUGAAAGAUGGUUUCGGCUAUCACUUACAGAUGGGCCCGCGGUGCAUUAGCUAGUUGGUGAGGUAACGGCUCACCAAGGCAACGAUGCAUAGCCGACCUGAGAGGGUGAUCGGCCACACUGGGACUGAGACACGGCCCAGACUCCUACGGGAGGCAGCAGUAGGGAAUCUUCCGCAAUGGACGAAAGUCUGACGGAGCAACGCCGCGUGAGUGAU
RNAcentral lists this ribosomal RNA (350 nucleotides) under Priestia aryabhattai. RNAcentral describes it as "bacterial SSU rRNA". It matches the Rfam family "Bacterial small subunit ribosomal RNA", at positions 67 to 409 of the family's 1533-position model. The record is from RNAcentral. Lineage: Bacteria; Bacillati; Bacillota; Bacilli; Caryophanales; Bacillaceae.